Helianthus annuus (common sunflower) is the source of this 680-nucleotide long non-coding RNA. RefSeq lists it as uncharacterized. The record is from RefSeq and is a predicted model, not a curated record. The transcript has 2 exons. NCBI's taxonomy places the organism in Eukaryota, Viridiplantae, Streptophyta, Magnoliopsida, Asterales, Asteraceae.
AGCCACAUAUUGUUUUAAAGGGAUUUCUUUAAUAGUACAGAAUAGAUAAGUAUGGUUGAGACUGGAGAGAUGAAAGCAACGGAGAGAAGAGAAAGCACUAGAGCAAAGGGAGUAGAGCAAAGGAAGCCAGAGGUUCCACCAACUGGUUACAUCGGCACCGAUGUAGCGGCGGUGUUUAGGUUUCAACUUACACAAUGUCAUCGUAGGUGAACACCUCAAGACAUAAGUCUCAAACAACCACUCGAUGAGGGCGACUAGGGUUUCAACGAAGGUUCCGACAACUUUGCAGCGGUGGCGUGGUGAUCGAGGACAAGACAGUGAAGAGUAACCCUGGUGGUGGUGCGAUGAUGGACCAGGCUGUGUUCCAAAAACAGGUCAGUAUAAUCAUCAUUCAUCACUAGUGAUAAGUUGUUGGCUUCCUGUUGUAAAUUUAUUAGUUAACUGUGUAUUUAUGUGGUUAUGAUCUAUGCCACUUAAAGUAUGUUAAUGGAUAGUAUUACAUUGCACGUCAUCAUCAUUAAUUAACUGGCGAACGCCAUGUAUGAAUAUGUUGCCAUCAUCAUCAUCAACAAUUGAUUGGUGAUCCGAUUCUAUGGUUUCUAAAGAGGGAAUGUGUAUGAAUCUGUUGUAAUGUCACUGUGACAACGUUGCAUUGGUUUGCUUAUGACAUAAUCUUGAUU